Molecule: long non-coding RNA, 478 nt
Organism: Poecilia latipinna (sailfin molly)
Lineage: Eukaryota; Metazoa; Chordata; Actinopteri; Cyprinodontiformes; Poeciliidae
Exons: 3
Source: RefSeq, a predicted model, not a curated record
UAGCUUUGUGUUUGAGGGGGGGGGGGGUGACAUUAACCCAGUUGCAUAAGUAUGCACACAUUUAACUACUACUUUUCUGAAUAUUCUUCUGAUUUAGCUUCAGUGUUUAGUCUUUAGCUUUUACCUGCCAUGAGUUAUAGUUAAUACCAACAACCUGAUAUAAAGUUCUGCUGGCAAAUAUUUGAUUGAACAAAGGCAUCAGUCAGGAGAAGGAUGUAAAAGUUCUCCAGAAAAGGGACAAUGGUCAACAAUUGAAGAAAGUAGCAAUAAAACAAAAGCUGAUUGUUUCUGCAAAACUAAUGAAAAGAGAAGAUACAGUAACCAGUCAAGGAGCCGAUAAAUAGGAAAAUAACAGCUUUGGAAUGGUCUAAUAAAACUGUAGAUUCCUUUAAUAAGAGCUGUGGGCAGGAAACCUCACAUCAUGAUAGAUAACUACCACUGUUUGUGUUUCUUAUCACAUAAAAUCUCCCCAAAUAAU